This 157-nucleotide ribosomal RNA is filed under the name Agitococcus lubricus. The record is from RNAcentral. Lineage: Bacteria; Pseudomonadati; Pseudomonadota; Gammaproteobacteria; Moraxellales; Moraxellaceae.
UCUGGCGACCAUAGCAAGUGUGAACCACCUGAUCCCUUCCCGAACUCAGAAGUGAAACCACUGUGCGCCAAUGGUAGUGUGGCAUUCGCCAUGUGAGAGUAGGUCAUCGCCAGACCCCAAUCAAAAAAAGCCCUUCUCAUGAAGGGCUUUUUUAUUU